GACGAACGCUGGCGGCGUGCUUAACACAUGCAAGUCGAACGAAGUGGCGAACGGGUGAGUAACGCGUAAUCAACCUGCCCUUCAGAGGGGGACAACAGUUGGAAACGACUGCUAAUACCGCAUACUGAAGGAGGGGAUUGCGUAUGUUUAGGUAGUUGGUGGGGUAAUGGCCUACCAAGCAGACGAUCUCUAGCUGGUCUGAGAGGAUGACCAGCCACGCCGGGACUGAGACACGGCCCGGACUCCUACGGGAGGCAGCAGUGGGGAAUAUUGCGCAAUGGGGGCAACCCGGACGCAGCCAUGCCGCGUGUCUGAAGAAGGCCUUCGGGUUGUAAAGGACUUUUGUUAGGGAAGCGGUACCUAAAGAAUAAGCACCGGCUAACUACGUGCCAGCAGCCGCGGUAAUAC
This 408-nucleotide ribosomal RNA is filed under the name uncultured bacterium. RNAcentral's name for it is "partial 16S ribosomal RNA". It matches the Rfam family "Bacterial small subunit ribosomal RNA", at positions 28 to 526 of the family's 1533-position model. The record is from RNAcentral.